RNAcentral lists this ribosomal RNA (465 nucleotides) under Vreelandella stevensii. RNAcentral describes it as "partial 16S ribosomal RNA". It matches the Rfam family "Bacterial small subunit ribosomal RNA", at positions 338 to 795 of the family's 1533-position model. Lineage: Bacteria; Pseudomonadati; Pseudomonadota; Gammaproteobacteria; Oceanospirillales; Halomonadaceae. The record is from RNAcentral.
CCUACGGGAGGCUGCAGUGGGGAAUAUUGGACAAUGGGGGGAACCCUGAUCCAGCCAUGCCGCGUGUGUGAAGAAGGCCCUCGGGUUGUAAAGCACUUUCAGUGAGGAAGAACGCCUGGUGGUUAAUACCUAUCAGGAAAGACAUCACUCACAGAAGAAGCACCGGCUAACUCCGUGCCAGCAGCCGCGGUAAUACGGAGGGUGCGAGCGUUAAUCGGAAUUACUGGGCGUAAAGCGCGCGUAGGUGGCUUGAUAAGCCGGUUGUGAAAGCCCCGGGCUCAACCUGGGAACGGCAUCCGGAACUGUCAAGCUAGAGUGCAGGAGAGGAAGGUAGAAUUCCCGGUGUAGCGGUGAAAUGCGUAGAGAUCGGGAGGAAUACCAGUGGCGAAGGCGGCCUUCUGGACUGACACUGACACUGAGGUGCGAAAGCGUGGGUAGCAAACAGGAUUAGAUACCCGGGUAGUC